RNAcentral lists this ribosomal RNA (440 nucleotides) under uncultured bacterium. RNAcentral describes it as "partial 16S ribosomal RNA". It matches the Rfam family "Bacterial small subunit ribosomal RNA", at positions 338 to 795 of the family's 1533-position model. The record is from RNAcentral.
CCUACGUGAGGCAGCAGUGGGGAAUAUUGCACAAUGGGGGAAACCCUGAUGCAGCGACGCCGCGUGAGUGAAGAAGUAUUUCAGUAUGUAAAGCUCUAUCAGCAGGGAAGAAAAUGACGGUACCUGACUAAGAAGCCCCGGCUAACUACGUGCCAGCAGCCGCGGUAAUACGUAGGGGGCAAGCGUUAUCCGGAUUUACUGGGUGGAAAGGGAGCGUAGACGGCCAGACAAGUCAGAAGUGAAAGCCCAGGGCUCAACCCUGGGACUGCUUUUGAAACUGCCGGGCUGGAGUGCAGGAGAGGUAAGCGGAAUUCCUAGUGUAGCGGUGAAAUGCGUAGAUAUUAGGAGGAACACCAGUGGCGAAGGCGGCUUACUGGACUGUAACUGACGUUGAGGCUCGAAAGCGUGGGGAGCAAACAGGAUUAGAUACCCUUGUAGUC